AUAUUUAUCAAUAGAUAAUACAUGAUCAUAUGAUCCACACCCAGCAAAAUAGCUAUCCAGCAUCCCAAUAUAUACUUUCAAAUAAAUUGAUAUAUAAUUUUCAAAAUAUAACGAUCAUUAGUAUAUAUUAUAUUAGCAAAUGGUAUAUAUCUAAUAAAAUAAUCAUCUAGUGUACAUUUAGAUUUAUUAAUAUAUAAUUUUUAGAUUAUAAUAUAUAUUAAUAUAUAGUAUAUAUUGAGAUAAUAUAUAUUUAUUAAUUUUUUGAUAUAUAUUAUAAAUUAUUUUGAUCUUGGAGGAGGGGGAGAGAGUUUGACGACAAAAAAAAAGUUGGAUAGAGAAAUAGUUGACGAGGAAGA
Molecule: long non-coding RNA, 356 nt
Filed under: Elaeis guineensis (African oil palm)
Lineage: Eukaryota; Viridiplantae; Streptophyta; Magnoliopsida; Arecales; Arecaceae
Description: long non-coding RNA (EGUI_LNC025714)
Source: RNAcentral